GAACGUCGUGAGACAGUUCGGUCCAUAUCCGGUGUAGGCGUUAGAAUAUUGAGAGGAGCCUUCUUUAGUACGAGAGGACCGAGAAGGACAUACCUCUGGUGUACCAGUUAUCGUGCCAACGGUAAACGCUGGGUAGCUAUGUAUGGAGAGGAUAACCGCUGAAAGCAUCUAAGUGGGAAGCCCACCUCAAGAUAAGUAUUCUC
This 203-nucleotide ribosomal RNA is filed under the name Craspedostauros australis. Its description in RNAcentral is "partial Bacterial large subunit ribosomal RNA". It matches the Rfam family "Bacterial large subunit ribosomal RNA", at positions 2614 to 2815 of the family's 2925-position model. The record is from RNAcentral. Lineage: Eukaryota; Bacillariophyta; Bacillariophyceae; Mastogloiales; Achnanthaceae.